RNAcentral lists this ribosomal RNA (465 nucleotides) under uncultured bacterium. Its description in RNAcentral is "partial 16S ribosomal RNA". It matches the Rfam family "Bacterial small subunit ribosomal RNA", at positions 28 to 507 of the family's 1533-position model. The record is from RNAcentral.
GACGAACGCUGGCGGCGUGCUUAACACAUGCAAGUCGUACGGUAAGGCCCUUUCUGGGGUACACGAGUGGCGGACGGGUGGGUAACACGUGCGUAACCUGCCCACCACUUUGGGAUAACGCUAGGAAACUGGUGCGAAUACUGGAUAUGUGCUCCUGCUGCAUGGUGGGGGUUGGAAAGCUACGGCGGUUGUGGAUGGACUCGCGGCCUAUCAGCUUGCUGGUGGGGUAGUGGGCUACCAAGGCGGCGACGGGUAGCCGGCCUGAGAGGGUGACCGGCCACAUUGGGACUGAGAUACGGCCCAGACUCCGACGGGAGGACGCAGUGGGGAAUAUUGCACAAAGGGCGCAAGCCUGAUGCAGCAACGCCGCGGGCGGGAUGACGGCCUUCGGGGUGUAAACCGCUUUCAGCAGGGACGAAGCUUUUUGUGACGGUACCUGCAGAAGAAGCACCGGCUAACUACGUG